GCCAACGUCCAUACCACGUUGAAUACACCGGUUCUCGUCCGAUCACCGAAGUUAAGCAACGUCGGGCGCGGUCAGUACUUGGAUGCCUGGGAACACUGCGUGACGUUGGCU
RNAcentral lists this ribosomal RNA (111 nucleotides) under Melitaea cinxia (Glanville fritillary). The record is from RNAcentral. Lineage: Eukaryota; Metazoa; Arthropoda; Insecta; Lepidoptera; Nymphalidae.